This 463-nucleotide ribosomal RNA is filed under the name uncultured Klebsiella sp. RNAcentral's name for it is "bacterial SSU rRNA". It matches the Rfam family "Bacterial small subunit ribosomal RNA", at positions 339 to 795 of the family's 1533-position model. Lineage: Bacteria; Pseudomonadati; Pseudomonadota; Gammaproteobacteria; Enterobacterales; Enterobacteriaceae. The record is from RNAcentral.
CUACGGGUGGCAGCAGUGGGGAAUAUUGCACAAUGGGCGCAAGCCUGAUGCAGCCAUGCCGCGUGUGUGAAGAAGGCCUUCGGGUUGUAAAGCACUUUCAGCGGGGAGGAAGGCGGUGAGGUUAAUAACCUCAUCGAUUGACGUUACCCGCAGAAGAAGCACCGGCUAACUCCGUGCCAGCAGCCGCGGUAAUACGGAGGGUGCAAGCGUUAAUCGGAAUUACUGGGCGUAAAGCGCACGCAGGCGGUCUGUCAAGUCGGAUGUGAAAUCCCCGGGCUCAACCGGGGAACUGCAUUCGAAACUGGCAGGCUAGAGUCUUGUAGAGGGGGGUAGAAUUCCAGGUGUAGCGGUGAAAUGCGUAGAGAUCUGGAGGAAUACCGGGGGCGAAGGCGGCCCCCUGGACAAAGACUGACGCUCAGGUGCGAAAGCGUGGGGAGCAAACAGGAUUAGAUACCCAGUAGUC